Molecule: non-coding RNA, 74 nt
Filed under: Paramuricea clavata
Lineage: Eukaryota; Metazoa; Cnidaria; Anthozoa; Malacalcyonacea; Plexauridae
Source: RNAcentral
CAUCAUCGGCGCACUGUGCUGAUGAGCCCCAUAAAGGGCGAAACAGCUGUCCACAGUUGCCGUUGUUUGAGCUU